UACGAAGGGUGCAAACGUUGCUCGGAAUUAUUGGGCGUAAAGCGCACGUAGGCGGCUUGGCAAGUCGGAUGUGAAAUCCCUCGGCUCAACCAAGGAAGUGCAUCCGAAACUGCCGAGCUUGAGUACUUAAGAGGAUCGCGGAAUUCCCGGUGUAGAGGUGAAAUUCGUAGAUAUCGGGAGGAACACCAGUGGCGAAGGCGGCGAUCUGGGAAGAUACUGACGCUGAGGUGCGAAAGCGCGGGGAGCAAACAGG
Molecule: ribosomal RNA, 253 nt
Filed under: uncultured bacterium
Lineage: Bacteria
Description: partial 16S ribosomal RNA
Rfam family: Bacterial small subunit ribosomal RNA
Source: RNAcentral